UAGUAUAGGUAAGGACGAUGGCCAUGAAAGUCGGAACCAGCUAUAAAGUAUGUAACAACUCCCCUGCCGAAGCAACUAGUCCUGAAAAUGGAUGGUGCUCUA
RNAcentral lists this ribosomal RNA (102 nucleotides) under Ixodes scapularis (black-legged tick). Its description in RNAcentral is "eukaryotic large subunit ribosomal RNA". It matches the Rfam family "Eukaryotic large subunit ribosomal RNA", at positions 1229 to 1332 of the family's 3401-position model. Lineage: Eukaryota; Metazoa; Arthropoda; Arachnida; Ixodida; Ixodidae. The record is from RNAcentral.